GAGUUUGAUCCUGGCUCAGGAUGAACGCUAGCGGCAGGCCUAACACAUGCAAGUCGAGGGGUAGAGUUAGCUUGCUAACUUGAGACCGGCGCACGGGUGCGUAACGCGUAUGCAAUCUACCUUGUACAGGGGGAUAGCCCAGAGAAAUUUGGAUUAAUAUCCCAUAGUGUUAUGAUGUGGCAUCACAUUAUAACUAAAGUUCCAACGGUACAAGAUGAGCAUGCGUCCCAUUAGCUAGUUGGUGUGGUAACGGCAUACCAAGGCAAUGAUGGGUAGGGGUCCUGAGAGGGAGAUCCCCCACACUGGUACUGAGACACGGACCAGACUCCUACGGGAGGCAGCAGUGAGGAAUAUUGGUCAAUGGGCGCAAGCCUGAACCAGCCAUGCCGCGUGCAGGAUGACGGUCCUAUGGAUUGUAAACUGCUUUUGUACGGGAAGAAACACUCCUACGUGUAGGAGCUUGACGGUACCGUAAGAAUAAGGAUCGGCUAACUCCGUGCCAGCC
This 505-nucleotide ribosomal RNA is filed under the name uncultured Flavobacterium sp. Its description in RNAcentral is "bacterial SSU rRNA". It matches the Rfam family "Bacterial small subunit ribosomal RNA", at positions 9 to 513 of the family's 1533-position model. The record is from RNAcentral. Lineage: Bacteria; Pseudomonadati; Bacteroidota; Flavobacteriia; Flavobacteriales; Flavobacteriaceae.